CAUAAGAACUUUGAGCAAUUGGGAAAAAAAUCCCCGGUCGAGAGUUCGGCUUCGGCCAUUCAUCUCCCUGAUCGCACCACACGUAGGACAAAAUCCCUUGCCGACUGCUUGUCGCCGGCCACCGCUACUCCUGCUCGGACGCUCCCCGCUCCCACACACGGCCAGCCGGCCCCAGGCGCUGCGCCGCACCCGCACGGCACAGUCAGCAAACAGCAGAGCAGGCCGCGGGAGGGGAAGGCCGCACCAGCACGGCGGCGCACGCAUUGUCGCGGCUCCAUCCAAUCAAGGUAAAUGUGUGCUGGAUCUCUAAAUAAAUCCGUACUAUUUGCAUUUUUCCUCACUUGAUUGGUAAGAAUAGUAAAUUUUGUGAUUAUAAUAAAAAUUUCAUCAUGAUCUACACCAUCAUCGGACACCAACCAAUACUGUAGAAGGAUAACCGAACCGAACCGAAAUUACAUGUAUGCUAAGAGUCCAAAUAAUCUGAGUACACCGAUAUGUGCAAUCUGCUGGAAACCAAUGUCGUUUUUUCCUUUUAAUCCUUUCAUUGUUGUCCACGUGUAGACAGAAACUUCCCGGAACUCAGAACUCGAAAAUUGCCGGAACUCGGAACUUGCCGGGACUCAAAACUUGACAGGAAGUUGGAUCUGAAUUGCUUGGCUUCACGUGCACACACAAAUCUCUUCUUCUUUUUUCUUUAAGUUGCUCACCGAGUAAACACUGGAAAUCUGAUACCAAGAUGAUAAGGGAUGGCUCGAUCUUCUCAGAGAGCAACGUGGAUAACUUGUAUGAUUCUACAAAUCUUCCGGCUGUUCACCCGUCGCCGCACGACGAACUUGCAACCCAAUGGAAAUUCGCAACACAACACACUUGCGCAGUAGUCUGCCGACCACAAGCGGUUUCGCAAUCUUCCAAUUCUCAGCGAAACGACAGAUUACGCUCGAAAUUUCAGUAGAUAACAAACACCCUAUCGAAACGAAUAUGGUGUAUAUGAUUCCAGAUGAAUGCUUCUCGCAAUCAACAAGAGUCUCGAAAAUAGCUAAAACGUGGUCUAACCCUAAACCUAGGCGUACCCCUUGUUUAUAUAGACGAGGAGUAGCCCAAACUCAAUACAGACUCCAACUCAAAUUCAAACUAGAAUUCGACUCAGACUCAAACUAGAACUGGAAUUCGACUCAAUACAGACUCCGACUCAAAUUCAAACUAGAAUUCGACUCAGACUCAAACUAGAACUGGAAUUCGACUCAAACUAGAAUUCAACUCAGACUCAAACAUGGGCUCGCAGAUCUGGGCACUCCUUAGACGUGUCGGACUCGUCGUAGGCUGUCCUAGUGUGCCUCAUAUUCGUACUCGACUUGUGGUGCAUCCUAGGCAUAUCAUCCUUGUCGUUGGCUGCCCCUUGCACACAAGACAUUCUUCUAACUUAUAUCCUUCAUCUUCACUUUUGGUGCGCCUGCCUCCCUCUCCUCCCUCCCGCAUAUCUUGAUGUUGGAUAUCAACACUUGAGGAUCCGUACCCUCAUCAGUUAGGCUCGAUGCUACUUGCGGCUCUAUCACUGGCCCAACAAGGAUGUCUAGAAGAGAAGCAAUUAUCUAACUAGCUAUAACUACGAAACCCCAACCAAUAUAGCACCACUACGCCAAUUUUAGUAUCCUCAUUCUCCAAUUUCCGGCUCCACCACUGGAUGGUUUCUUCAGCUUUUUAAGCUCUCAAAUGUAAGGUUUUUUCACCAUUUAAGAUCCCUAAAGUUAUUCAAAAGAUUUUGAUGAAAGUAUAUUUUGGUCCCUCAAUUGACAAAAAAGUCUAAAAACGAUUCAUAAACUUGAAAAUACUAUACAUUUGGUCCAUCAAUUGGCAAAACCCAAUUUUUUUUAUCCUUUUCCUGGAUUUGACCCCAUGUGGUUUCUUUUUCUUAGAUUUUUCAACAUCAGAUGUCACGAUGCCGUCCAGUUUCUCCUUGAGCUCGAAAUCGUAUGCGUUUAGCCUCUCGAUUGUGCAUCGUGACAUCUGAAGUGGAAAAGUCUGAUGGAAAAUUGCUCUAUGUGGAGUCAAAUGGAGUCAAAACCACUCAAUACGGUUCGAAUCCAGAAGAAAGACCAAAGUAUCUGGUUUUGUCAAUUGAGGGACCAAAAUAUACUUUUUUCAAUUGACCGUACUUUAUGAAACAACUUAAAAACUACAAGGACGAAUUUACCCUUUUCAGCUCAUAUUUAUUAUGGAAAAAGGCCUUUUUGUUCUUUGAGAGACUAGUUUCUCCUAUCUCCUCACAUUCUGUCCUCCACGUCAGUCAAGAAUUGAUGUGGUAUGCGAAAAAUGAAAAUCGAUGUUCCACCCUCUAAGAAAUAGUUGGGGGUGUAUUGUUCAGCAAUAUGCUCUUGCAAAUACAAAAUGCUAGUAGUCUGUACAAGUACAACACACGUUUUAAUACAACCACCUGGCUUAUAUCGUAAAGAUGUCUUACUUGAAACACAUGAUUUUACAAUGAAAAUAAGCCAACGGAGGACAAAGAGAUCGAGUAAAAGAAUCAAAAUAUAUUGGCAAACAUACAGAAAUUAAGAUCCCCUAGAUAAACUGUGUAAAUCCCUAUCCUACAAGUGUACUCCUUGAGGAGAUCCUUCUUAGGGGUCUUGCGAGCUCCAUUGACCCCGGGUAUGUGAGGGUGGGCGACCCGCGGGGUCAACCCUUGUUGCAUGCUUGAGCUGUUUUUCUGUUUUUUAGCUAGUCUUGUAAUUAUGAACUCCUCUCUCUAAUCUAAUGUCAAUCUACUGCCUUUUCUUAAAAAAAAUUACCAGUCUACUACUUGUACUUUAUAUCAAACAAUAAAUGAUGAUGCGCAUGCAUGCACUCUUAGGUAAAAUAAACGAUGCACUAUUAAUAUUACACAAGCGGUGUAUACAUGUAUAUAUUGACAUGGACAAAAAGAAAACUACUACAAUCUGCAUGCAUGAUAUUAGUAUGCAGUAGUAGUUUAUAAUUACACCAUGCAACAAUCAAGACCAAUAUUCUACAGCAGAAAACCGGGGAGCCCGACUUUCUUCCCCGUCUUCUUGACGUCCUCUUGCACCCUUCUCCGGUACUCCCCGAAUGUGAAGGUCCUGUAAGGGGAAGGCUCCUCGCAGGCGCCGAUGGGCGAGUCGUACGAUGGGCAAAGGAAGUAUGCCACGGAGUACCUCUCUGUCGUCGCGUUGGUUACCACUUUGUGCUCCACGCUCCUGUAUCGAUUGUUGCUCCAUGCCUUGACACGACAAAAACCAGAGCGGACAGUAAGAAAACCGACCUUUUAAACAAAAGAAAAUAGAAUUGCUUUUGUGCAUUUUGCCCCCUUUUCGAACAAGAAAAAAACACUGACUUUAAUUGCUCUGUUUGUAACUGUACCUUACAUGCUCGAUUCAGCGAUGAAACUAAAUCUACGGCUGUACGUAUAUAAUACUACUGAUCAAUAGGAAAAGGCAGUCUGCAGUAGAUCGGUUCCUUAGCUAGCGAAAGUUGCAACGUAUGUAACCAUGUGAGCAUCGUGGAUAGAGGUCUCGCUUUUGUAUAUCCAAUGUUUUCCUGUCCCCCCUGAACUCAGCGGAAUCCCUAGGCUUUAUGUUAGCGGCGGUACACAGCACAGCACAGCGAUAUACGCAAGUUGCGGAUAUGUAUGACACGGCAGCUUCCGCUUUUAGAGUGUCCGAGUACACUCCCCCCGGCAGAUGUUCACAGGUGCCGCACUUGUACGCAGCCAGCAUGUUACUGGAGCGUACACAAAUAAUCAAUCGCAUUCUGACUCGUCAAGUCAAGCUAGCUAUGGAUCGAGGCCGGCCGGCACUGCAGUGCACACGCACAUGUUUGUGUGUACCUUGUGAGUGGUGGAUCUUAAAGUAUAUUCUGAAUGCAUGAUUUCCUUUUUCGUAUGGAUAGCGAGAGGGCAAAUUAACUCUAGUCCUAGUUAAGCUAUGGAUGCAUGGCUCAUAUAUUGUCGUAAUGCUACACGUACGUACGGUAUACCUGAGUAAUAAAUACAGUAUAAGUAUAUGUCGACGUGUCCGUAGGUAUAUACGUACCUGGAAGAGGUCACCGAUGUUGACGAUGAGAGCGUUGGGGAUGGGCUUGACG
This 4095-nucleotide long non-coding RNA is filed under the name Brachypodium distachyon (stiff brome). Its description in RNAcentral is "long non-coding RNA (BDIS_LNC003953)". Lineage: Eukaryota; Viridiplantae; Streptophyta; Magnoliopsida; Poales; Poaceae. The record is from RNAcentral.